Non-coding RNA from Lactuca sativa (garden lettuce), 278 nucleotides. The record is from RefSeq and is a predicted model, not a curated record. Lineage: Eukaryota; Viridiplantae; Streptophyta; Magnoliopsida; Asterales; Asteraceae.
GGGAAAUCUAAGGAGCUCUCCCAUGGUGAUUUCUUCCAUUUUGUAUCUAAGGCUUGAUCCAAGCAAAUAUUUGAGCAUCCAAGCAAAAGAAAGAGGAAUCAAAGGCUUUUUCGGAGAAAGGGUGAUCGAUGGAAGUUAGAAGUUAAGAGAUAGUGAAUGGAGUGGAGCUUGUUAAGUUCCUUAUCAAUGGUAUUGAUGUAAUUCGUAUUUGUUUUUUAUGGUUUGAAUGAUGCUUAAUGGUAGCACCCAAUGUUUUAAUUGUAAAUUCUUUGGUGGGA